AUCUGCGUCCCUUCUAAACAUGCUGGGGCGGGGGGAGGAUUUUAAUAGUAUGAGGAGACACACGUUACCGCACCUACAUCACAACCUCAAAGACCCCAAACGGUGUCCUAGCCUGAAAUAACUAAAUAAGCAAAGGUAGAACUUUCAAAGUCUUAUCUUAAAAACAAAAAAACCAAUAUUGACUUUUCCAUUUGCCUGGAAGCUUUCUGAGAAAUCCAUAAACAACUGAUGAUGCCAGGUGUUAGAAACCAUUCUGCCCUGCUCUUGAUGGUCACUCUUGGGUCAAGGUCAGGCGCCUCAUGCCCAGCAACACUCUCCAUUCCACCCAAGGGCGGACACCACUUCCAUUCCCUUUCCACAUUGAUGUCUAAGCCAGUUCACUUCCCCAGUGGGGAAAGGAUGAACACAGAAAUCUUGUGGAACGUGUGUUCCCACAGAGCUCAGAAAUGUGAUGAUCUCAGAGGAUAUUGUAAAGAAAGACCCCUGACACCUCCCUAAGGAAGAAUGUCUUCUGUAAAAGGCGACUCUCAGGACAAAAACCAUGUGCUGGGAAAAUCUACAGCCUGCUGCUCGUAUGUUUCCAAUUCUGAUGUCCCACUUCCUCUUUAUAAUCACAUUCCUUCCCCCCGACUUCUCUCCUAAAAAGACACUUGGCAGCGGGUCUCAGGAAAGAAGCAAAGUGGGGUGUUCUAAGAAAGACUGUCAGGUAAAACGAGCUCAAAUGGAUUUCAAUAAAUAUAAAACACUUGACUACUAUAUUAGAUCAAUUCCAUUCCACUCCUUUUAAAUGGUUCCAAAACAGAACUUGUUUUUAAGUGUUGGCAGUCUACCUUUUUAAAAAUAAAGUUUCAUUCACUUAAAGCUUAUUCACACAGGCCGUCAAAGAGCCAAAAGCUUUUUAACAAUACAGUUUGAAGAGCUGUGAUGGCACUAAUCUGGCCUUCCAAAUCUAUCUCGCAGUGGGUUUUGGAAGGAUCAAUUAAGAUAAGACAUGUAAAAGUGAUUUGAAAUCUGCAAAGGGCUAAUCAAAUUGUUGUUAUUCCUACUAUUAAGAAAUAUACCAUUCAAUGUCUACUUAAAAGAGCGCGGACCUUGGACUCAGAGACCCAAAUUCGAAUCUCACCUCUGCCACUUACUAGUUACCCACACAAUAGGGUACAAGAGGCAAGUUACUAAAUUCCCUAGGCCUCAGUUUCAACUGUAAAAUGGAGAUAAUAUCCACUUUAUCAAGUUGCUGUGAGGAUUAACGGAGUAAUGUAUGCAAAACACUUUGUACAAAGUAAACACUUACUAAAGGACAGCUGUAACUAUUGUUAGGCUACUUAAUUAAAAUUCAAAUGUCCAGCUAUUGAUAAUAGAAGGGAGAAGUCAAAGAGGAGAAUCUUGCCCAAAAGGAGGACAAAUCCUAAAAACAUGGAUCCUACACUGUGAGGAUCCCUUCUUAGCCAAACACCACUCCCAACCCCCACCCCAUCCCCACUGACGUCAGAAGCUCCUUGUUGCUUUGCAUAACUGUGCAGCAACCAGAGAGAGUCAGUCUAACUCCAGGCUUGACAAAGUGAUGAUUCAUCCCAUCCCAUGAAGGGGGUGCAGCCUGUAGCCAGCCUCACCACACAACAGGGCAUCCAGCAGGACAGCCAGCGACCAGGGACCAGCUACUUAGGAGAAUCCCGCAUCCGUGUCUCCAGCAGCAGUAACACAGUUGUAUGCUUUGCAUUUGGUUAAUGUAUAUUCCAGUAAGCACUGGGAGGAAUCCAAUUGUGCUACAUUUUACAAAACAAUUCACAACAUAAAUGAAAAGUCCAAAAUGGCAAGACAAUGAUAACAAAGAAAUCUCCCGCUGUUCACUGCCCAUGGCACCAUGGUUUGCCAGACAGCAUGUUAGUUAUAAUGACAAACAGCUUGAUGGCUGGACAACAUCCCACUUCAACUUCACAUCAUAAUGCCUCCUGAGGACACAGCUUUUCAGCCUGGCCUGAAAUCUGACCACAUCCCCCACGAAAAAGACAAACCCUCAGCAGUAGCUCAUACAGCUCUUUUCCAUUACCAUUUAGUGGGCACAAAACAUUUUUUCCCCCAGAGUAAGCUUCUAAUUCGCCUUCUAAGCUUACGAGGCUUUCAAACUAGGUUCAUCCUAAAACACAUGGCCAAAGGGGUAUUUACCGGUGGACCCGCUGGCUUGUCAACGAGGCAGCACUGUGUCAUUCCCCAGCCCUGCCUGCAGCCACACUACUAUAACUGAAUGUCUCCUAAAUUAUCACCACAGUAAUUCUAACCUUCAGCCUGAGUUUGGGAUCCUUCCACCAGGGUCCCAUAGGCACAAACCAUGAAUGCCUGGAAAUGUCAGCCUCCUCCCAAAACAGUUUUGCUUGAAAUACCCCAUCCAAAAAACAGUCACGAUACCACUCCCCAUGGCUCCCUCCCGAGGUCAGCCAAUCCUCUCCGGUUUCUCGAUUCCAAUCUAGGAAAGGGUCAUUUAACAAAUGCCCAACAUAUUACAUUUAAUUCUACCUCCUCCCCAAAAUAAUUCCCAUUCACCAUAAUGCUAAGUAUUCUGUUUCUUAUUCCAGAUGACCCACACUGGGGGAGCGAAAGCACAGAAACCUUGGCUUCUCAACUCAAAACCCAAACGCUGGUGUGUGUGGUGUGUUUUCCGGGAAGAACCGUAAAAGGUUUUUCAAUUCAGUGUUACAUAAUCUGAUUCAUUUAUUUAGCAAUGUCUAAUUUUCUGGUGGUUUCCCCCUGAACAUUCCUGAAAAAUGGUUAUACUACAUUACAACGGAGAAAACUAUUUGGUGUCUAAAUCGAUUCUAUAAAAUUUGCCUCCUACCCAUUCCAGCCAAUACCCACUAGCAACACACACAGAUCCACAGGCACACACAUACACAUGAAUAUCCUGAUUCAUUGCCCAAAAACAAUUCUUCUCCCAUUGUAACUAACAAGAUUUGAUUUCAGCAAACUAACAUUGGGAGCGCCUACAACUCAGGGAAGUACACAACUUGUUGCAGCAAUAAAUGCUUGGCCGCAGCCUGAACAAAGCAGUACAAACAAGCUCCAGAAACCCACACGGCCCUUGGACAAAACGUUGUGUUUGUAAUCAACUCCCCAAUGCACUCUCAUCACCCCCUCCCCAACCCUCUUCCCCUGCCCUGACUCGCGUUCCUAAUCUGGUUUCCAUUCCAGCCCCGCCCCCUCCCCUUCCCUCUCUGGGACCGUGAAUCAAUCCCUUCCCCGGCAGGAAACGAGACGCAGGGCAGCCCCCUCCGCUGCGGCGGAACAAAGGAGGACAGCGCAGGAAGCCCCAUCGGGUCCGGAGUCCCUUCUCCCACGCCGCCGCCGGGGCACGCCGCACCUGAACCCCACUCCCCAGGACGCCCCAUUGUUCUCUCUCCGCUUUCCUUCCCGGAGGAGGCCACCCCAUGUCCUUCCAUAGAACCAGGGGGCCAGGAAACAGCUGUGGGCCAGAGAGAUGGAGGGGGUGUGAGUGAACACGAGGAAGAUCUGGAUCCCACUUUGCCCACAGACCAGGAAAGCCAAGAACAGAGAGAUCUUCCAGAUAAUCAAUGGCUAUGCUGUUUUGAAGUCAUGCCCACAGAUUCUUUGACACCCCUGCCCUUAAGGAGUGGAGUCUAAUUGCCCACUUCUUGAAUAUGGGCUGGACUUAGUGACUGGAUUCUAGUCAAUAGAAUGCAGCAGAAGUGGUGCUCCGAGACUCCUGAGCCCCGCUCAUCAAAGGAGCUACAGUUUCCACCUGGCUGUCUCUUGGGACACUCGCCCUUGGAAUCCAGCUGCCCUGCUGUGAGGAAGCUCGUGCCACCUGGAAGGCCAUGUGCGGCUGAUGGUGCCAGGUCCGUGAUGAGAGCAUCUCUUUAGAAGAGGCAAGAGAGGCACCCCUGGAACCCACAUCAACUCUUUCAGGCACCAUUCAGUCACAAUCCAGAGCCUGGUACUGUGUUCCUGGCUUCUGUGGACUCCCCUUCAUGGGCUGGUGCACAUGAUUUUUGUCAGAUGAGCAAGGGUGUCUUGGCCCAACAAUAUGCUUUGCUUAAGAGCUUAGUAGAAGGCAGUCCACGUGGAAACAGUUGACCGCUCUUGAAGAAGGCCAGUUGUCGGUGUGAAAUGGAACCUCCAGAGCAGGGUAGCCGGAGCCCCAGGCUUGGCUGCCCUGAGCCGCAGGCAUGGGUUUGCACAAACUCCAUUCCACUGCUGUUGACUUCACUGGGCCAGGCUCAGCUGCAUGAGAAAGGAAGCCUGCCUGAAGCUCUAAAGUGUCUUAUAAAAUCAUCCUGCCAGUAUUAAGACCUCACCCAGAAAUAGUUUCAGUUUUUGCGUUUGUUUUUUGAGCCAUUCAAAGAGAAUAUUGCUAUGGGAAAGUUCCCCUUUACUAUUCAGUCUCAUCAGCUGAGUUAUUAAUGGAAAGUAGUUCAUGGCAACCAUCUCUACAGUGCCAAUAAAUGCCUAGUGUUAAAACAGCCAA
This is a long non-coding RNA of Equus caballus (horse), 4477 nucleotides long. RefSeq lists it as uncharacterized. The record is from RefSeq and is a predicted model, not a curated record. NCBI's taxonomy places the organism in Eukaryota, Metazoa, Chordata, Mammalia, Perissodactyla, Equidae.